This 1545-nucleotide ribosomal RNA is filed under the name Bacillus sp. UFRGS-B20. Its description in RNAcentral is "bacterial SSU rRNA". It matches the Rfam family "Bacterial small subunit ribosomal RNA". Lineage: Bacteria; Bacillati; Bacillota; Bacilli; Caryophanales; Bacillaceae. The record is from RNAcentral.
UUAUUGGAGAUUUGAUCCUGGCUCAGGAUGAAAUCGCUGGCGGCGUGCCUAAUACAUGCAAGUCGAGCGAUGGAUUAUAGAGCUUGCUCUUCUGAAGUUAGGCGGACGGGUGAGUAAACGUGGGUACCUGCCAUAAGACUGGUGAUAAUCCGGGAAACCGGGGCUAAUACCGGAUAAUUAUGUUUGGACUGGCAUGGUUCUGAAAUUGAAAGGCGCGCUUUCGGCUGUCACUUAUGGAUGCCCAGCCGUCGCUGAGCUAGUUGGUGAGUAACGGCUCACCAAGGCAAACGAAUGGGCGUAGCCGACCUGCAGAGGUAUCGGCCACACUGGGACUGAGACACGGCCCGACUCCUACGGGAGGCAGCAAGUAGGGAAUCUUCCGCAAUGGACGAAAGUCUGACGGAGCAACGCCGCGUGAGUGAAUGAAAGGCUUUCGGGCGUAAACCUGUGUUAGGGAAGACCAAGUGCUAGUUGAUACCUGGCACGCUUGACGUCCUAAACCAGAACGCCACGGCUAACUACGUGCCCAGCAGCCGCGGUAUACGUAGUGGCAACGUUCAUUCCGGGAAUUAUUUGGGCGUAAAGCGCGCGCAGGUGGUUUCUUAAAGUCUGAUGUGAAAAGCCCACGGCUCACCCGGUGGGGGUCAUUGGAAACUGGGAGACUUGAGUGCAGAAGAGGAAAGUGGAAUUCCAUGUGUAGCGGUGGAAAUGCGAGAGAUAUGGAGGAACACAGUGGCGAAGGCGACUUCUGGCUGUAACUGACACCUUCGAGGCGCGAAGCGUGGGAGCACAGGAUUAGAUACCCUGGUUAGUCCAGCCGUAAAUCGAUGAGUGCUAAGUGUUAGAGGGUUUCCGCCCUUUAGUGCUGAAGUUUAACGAUUAAAGCAUCCGCCUGGGGAGUCGGCCGCAAGGCUGAAACUCAAAGGAAUUGACGGGGGGCCCGCACAAGCGGUGGAGAGUGGUUUAAUUCCGAAGCAGCGCGAAGAACCUUACGCAGGGUCUUGACAUCCUCUGAAACCUAAGAUAGGGCUUCUCCUUCGGGAGCAGAGUGACAGGUGGUGCAUGGUUUGUCGUCAGCUCGUGUCGUGAGAUGUUGGGUUAAGUCCGCAACGACGCACCUUGAUCUUAGUUUGCCAAUCAUUAAGUGGGCCACUCUAAGGUGACUGCGGUGCAAACCGGAGGAAGGUGGGGGAAUGACUCAAAUCAUCAUGCCCCUUAUGACCGGGCUACACACGUGCUACAAUGGACGGUAAAAGCGCUGCAAGACGCGAGGUGAGCUAAUCUCAUAAAACCGUUCUCAGUUCGGAUUGUAGGCUGCAACUCGCCUCAUGAAGCUGGAAUCGCUAGUAAGUCGCGACUCAGCAUGCCGCGGUGAAUACGUUCCCGGGCUCUUGUAACACAACCGGCCGUCCACCCGAGAGUUUUGUACACCCGAAGUCGGUGGGGUACCUUUUUGGAGCACCGCUAAGGUGGGACAGAUGAUUGGGGUGAAGUCGUAACAAGGUAAGCCGUAUCGGAAGGGUGCGGCUGGAUCACCUCCUUUCU